GUGGCUGUAGCUCAGUUGGUAGAGCACCUGGUUGUGGUCCAGGGGGUCGCGGGUUCGAGUCCCGUCAGCCACCCCA
This 76-nucleotide transfer RNA is filed under the name Bifidobacteriaceae bacterium. RNAcentral's name for it is "tRNA-His". It matches the Rfam family "tRNA". Rfam says of the family: Transfer RNA (tRNA) molecules are approximately 80 nucleotides in length. Lineage: Bacteria; Bacillati; Actinomycetota; Actinomycetes; Bifidobacteriales; Bifidobacteriaceae. The record is from RNAcentral.